RNAcentral lists this non-coding RNA (238 nucleotides) under Homo sapiens (human). Lineage: Eukaryota; Metazoa; Chordata; Mammalia; Primates; Hominidae. The record is from Rfam by way of RNAcentral.
GCUGGGCGUGGUGGCGCAUGCCUAUAAUCCCAGCUACUUGGGAGGCUGAGGCUGCAGUGAGUCGAGAUUGCACCACUGCAUUCCAGCCUGGGUGACAGAGCAAGAGACUUCUUCAAAAAAAUAAAAAAGAAGAAGAAUGUAGUAAUAUUCUGUCUUUUUUUUUUUUUUUUUGAGACAGAGUCUCCCUCUGUUGCCCAAGCUGGAGUGCAGUGGCACGAUCUUGGCUCACUGCAGCCCC